UGCCUGUUUAGUCUUGUCAGUCGUAUCACUGAGUUUGAAUCAUGCAUAUAUCAGUGUACGCCGUAUUAAAGCAAAACCACGAACUGCUCAUUAAAUCGGCUAUGUUUUCAUGUAUCUUACCUUACAUAACUGCCAAAUCCAGAGCCAAUACAUAAAGCAGAGAUUACUUUCGUGGGAAAUGGCUUUUACGAUCAAAAACACUCUGAACUCGCGUCUAUGCUAAGUGGUUAUAGCAUAAAUUGAGGUUGUAUACCAAUACAUUUUUAAAGUGUGCCUUAACCGUCUAUUAUCCACCUGCCAUAGUAGCAACGGAAUCGGGUUUCGAUUCCAGAGAGAGAACCUGGGAAAUGACUACUGCAUUGAAGGAAAGUAGCUGAUACGCAUAUUAUUAAUUACCAGAGCGGGAGGUAGCGACAAAAACUGCAAGUAUGGGAUUUCCGAGAACCCAAUAAUUAGAAUGAAUACACUAAAUCUUUUAACGAGGGUCAAUAGGAAGGCAAAUCUGCGUCAAAAGCCACGGUGAUUCUAGCUACAACAACUUGUAUUAAAGCUAUUGAAGUUAAAAACUUGGGGAUGGAUCUCAA
This 584-nucleotide non-coding RNA is filed under the name Stegodyphus mimosarum. Its description in RNAcentral is "Eukaryotic small subunit ribosomal RNA". It matches the Rfam family "Eukaryotic small subunit ribosomal RNA", at positions 1 to 644 of the family's 1831-position model. The record is from Rfam by way of RNAcentral. Lineage: Eukaryota; Metazoa; Arthropoda; Arachnida; Araneae; Eresidae.